AUAAAAGAUUGUGGCAUCCAAUUUUGUUCUGCAGUUCCAAUUAUUUUCUGAAAGAGUAAAUUGAUGAAGUCGCACGAAAGGGAUUCGCCUUGUCUGAAACCUCGUUUGGUAUCGAACGGGUUGAAGAGAUCUUUCCCGAUCUCUUGACAAUUUAGUUUUUCUCCAGUUUUGGCACUUUUUCAUUUUCGUAAGUAGUAAGGGUUUUUGGUAUUGCUCAACGUCAGUUUACAAAGCCCUAUUAGUUUUGCUUGGAUACGAAACGCAGCUUCGAAAUCGACGAAUAGUCGAUCCUCUUUUCACGGGUCUUUUCCAAGAUUUGGCGCAGGAGAAUACCUGGUCAGAUGUUGAUUUUCCAGGCCUAAAGCCACACUGAUAAAGUGCAAUUAUUUUGUUGGCUGUGAGCUUUAAUCUUUCACACAAUACUAUGCGAUGUUGAGAAAGCUUACCAGACGUUAGUUGGCGUAGUUUGUGGAGUCUCCAGUUUUGUGGAUUGAGCAGAGCACACUAAAAUUCUAAUCGUUCUGUUAUCUCUCCGCCGGUUGAAGCAAAGGAAGAGGAAGGCCUACGCUUCGUUGGAGAGACAGGUGGAGAAGGACCUGACUUCGCUUGGAAUCUACAAUUGACGCCACAUUGCGAAAAGAAGGAACGAAGAAAAAAUAUAUACAAAUGAACAUUUUUCACUUGAAUAACAAUACAAUAGGGGUAUUUAGACUAGCCUUGUUAAUUCGUUAGUCGUCAUUCGGUAGUUUUUUGCAUGUAUUUUGUUCUACCGAGUAACGAACUAUCAAUCUGGCAAGCUUGAUAAUUGUUUCGUUACUCGGUAAUAUCACAUCAGCUGUUUGUUUGUUGUUCGCUGCUUUAUACAUUUUUAGACGGGAAAAUAAAUUUGGUGCUCAAUUCGUGAAUUAGGAAAAAUUUUGCAAAAUGGAACCCCAAAAGAAAAUACGCAGGAGGGCAAAGCCUCAAAAAAAUGGGAUGAGGAAGAAAACCAUUUGGUUCUAGAAUAUUUACUAGAAAAUGUGGAAAUUGAGAAACCAAACGCCCAAUUGUACUACCAAAAAUUUAUUGAAACAACAAAUAUCGAUGCGACUACGGACAUGUUGCGCUGCCAGGUCCGGUACUGGAAGCAGAUGUAUAAUAAAGCUGAGGAGUGGCGAAAAUCGACAGGUUCUGGAAUAGACGUUGGCGAUGAUGUUUCCUCAAUAAAUGCAAAACUUUCACAAAUGUGUCCGAAUUAUGAACGGUUUUCGGUUCUAUUUGGGAGUAAAUCCGAAGCCAAUUGUGUUGUAGAGACGUACAACCCUGAAGUGUCACAAUACUGCAGCGAUUUUGCAGAUAUU
Bactrocera dorsalis (oriental fruit fly) is the source of this 1340-nucleotide long non-coding RNA. RefSeq lists it as uncharacterized. The transcript has 4 exons. The record is from RefSeq and is a predicted model, not a curated record. NCBI's taxonomy places the organism in Eukaryota, Metazoa, Arthropoda, Insecta, Diptera, Tephritidae.